Cyprinodon variegatus (sheepshead minnow) is the source of this 913-nucleotide long non-coding RNA. RefSeq lists it as uncharacterized. The transcript has 4 exons. The record is from RefSeq and is a predicted model, not a curated record. NCBI's taxonomy places the organism in Eukaryota, Metazoa, Chordata, Actinopteri, Cyprinodontiformes, Cyprinodontidae.
UCUGAGCCGAGCAGAGGCAGGGUGGGGGUCCGGCAGGGGGGGCUCCCGCUGAGCGACGCUGAUUGGACCUCCGCUCAGAAGGCGGGAAACCUGCAGGUUUUGGCGGCCGUCAGGAACCCCCUUAAGGCCGGGGACACCCCCCCUCGUGUCUGGGAGGCGGAGACGGGACCCCCCUGACGUCAGAGGGCCUGUCUGAAAGUGAGGUAGAAGGUGAAGCAGAACCAGAGCUGACCCCCCCUCCCCCCACUCCGUCACUGAAAGCCGUGCUGGACCGGACCGAACCGGACCUGCGCCUAUGCACCCGGACUGAGGCUCAGGAGUCUGCUCCCCGCGAGGUUAGACGAUAAACCCCAAGAUGCAUCUGUGAUUGGAGGCUAAAAGAUGCCACGCACCAAGCAGAACCACCCCAAGAACCUGAAAGGGAACCGCUAUCUCCAAUAUUAUGGGUUGAUGCUGGAAGAACGAGGUCAGAGACGAAGGCUCAACAUCCCUCCUCAUCCUCCUCUCUGCUCCAAACGUUAUUCAUCCAAAGAAACAAACCAGCGUGGCGUCAUGCUGAGGAGGUGAUCUUGCACCAUCAGAUUUGAACGAGCAUCACCGGAGGGCAGAUUCCCACUAAUCACAGCCAAAGCGAACUGGAUGCGACUUGUUGUCCUGGGUUCUGGUGAAAUCCCAGUCGUUUUCUCAGGCUUCUCUUGGACUUCUGCUGACCCGGUUCCUCGCCCGUCCUUUGGAGGCAUUUCCUCUUGCAGGCAGGAAGCUCAAUGUAAGCGGCAUGCUGUCACAUGUUCGCUCUGGAGAAAGGCUUCUUCCUGACGACCCAGGGAACCGCCUGCAGCGGUCAGCUGAUGCGUUAAACCAGCUUUCAAAGGUUCUGCUCUGGUUUAUUAAAUAAAUCUGGACGUUUGUUAAA